Molecule: long non-coding RNA, 1376 nt
Organism: Biomphalaria glabrata
Lineage: Eukaryota; Metazoa; Mollusca; Gastropoda; Planorbidae
Exons: 9
Source: RefSeq, a predicted model, not a curated record
GGAAUGAUUAACGGAGGACUAUUAAAAGCAAAGACUGGACUCCUUAGCCAUCUUUGUGUUCAUAGGAUUGAUUAACGGAGGAAUUUUAAAAGCGAAGACUGGACUCCUUAGCCAUCUUGGUGUUCAUAGGAAUGAUUAACGGAGGACUAUUAAAAGCAAAGACUGGACUCCUUAGCCAUCUUUGUGUUCAUAGGAUUGAUUAACAGAGGAAUUUUAAAAGCGAAGACUGGACUCCUUAGCCAUCUUCGUGUUCAUAGUAAUGAUUAAUGGAGGAAUUUUAAAAGCGAAGACUGGACUCCUUAGCCAUCUUCGUGUUCAUAGUAAUGAUUAAUGGAGGAAUUUUAAAAGCGAAGACUGGACUCCUUAGCCAUCUUCGUGUUUAAAGGAUGUAGUUGAGGACUUAAAAGAUCGGUCUCCAUGGCCAUCUUUGUUUAGGUAGAAUAAAAAAUGGACUUGGACAUUUCUGAGAGCGAAGAUCGGACUCCACAGCCAUCUUCAUACUUAUUGGAAAGGAUAUUGUAUUAUUUUGUAAACAUGAGGAAUUUUAGCUGAGGACUAGAUGUAGUAAUAGUCAUCAAUUGAAUUGUUGAUCCAAGACAUACAUUUUUUGUCCCUUUUUUUUUUUUUUUUUACAAUGAUAUUGAAAGAUAACAUCAAAUAUCUAAACUAGAUAUUUUGUAUAGUAUUUUAUAAUAGCUAUACAUUUUUAAGUAAAGUAUUUGUUGUUUUUUUUCUAUUUCAAAUGCUGAGCAUACAUAACUAAACUGGAAGAACAGAUGAAGUCCAAAACGCUAAAGCAACAGACAUUCCAGACACUUGGCUUGUAUGUGCUGCUACUUGUGAUUAAGAACUGACUUCAAAUGAUAGCAAGAGGAUGAUUUAAGCAUACAUAAGUAAACUGGAAGAACAGAUGAAGUCCAAAAUGCUAAAGCAACAGACAUCCCAGACACUUGGCUUGUAUGUGCUGCUACUUGUGAUUAAGAACUGACUUCAAAUGAUAGCAAGAGGAUGAUUUAAGCAUACAUAACUAAACUGGAAGAACAGAUGAAGUCCAAAACGCUAAAGCAACAGACAUCUUAGACCAAGAUAAAGAACAUCCUGCUGAUUUACAGACACUUGGCUUGUAUGUGCUGCUACUUGUGAUUAAGAACUGACUUCAAAUGAUAGCAAGAGGAUGAUUUAAGCAUACAUAAGUAAACUGGAAGAACAGAUGAAGUCCAAAAUGCUAAAGCAACAGACAUCCCAGACACUUGGCUUGUAUGUGCUGCUACUUGUGAUUAAGAACUGACUUCAAAUGAUAGCAAGAGGAUGAUUUAAGCAUACAUAACUAAACUGGAAGAACAGAUGAAGUCCAAAACGCUAAAGCAACAGACAUC